RNAcentral lists this ribosomal RNA (278 nucleotides) under uncultured Acetitomaculum sp. RNAcentral's name for it is "partial 16S ribosomal RNA". It matches the Rfam family "Bacterial small subunit ribosomal RNA", at positions 511 to 788 of the family's 1533-position model. Lineage: Bacteria; Bacillati; Bacillota; Clostridia; Lachnospirales; Lachnospiraceae. The record is from RNAcentral.
GCAGCCGCGGUAAUACGUAGGGGGCAAGCGUUAUCCGGAUUUACUGGGUGUAAAGGGAGCGUAGACGGCAGGGCAAGUCCGAUGUGAAAACCCGGGGCUCAACCGCGGGAUUGCAUUGGAAACUGCUCAGCUCGAGUACUGGAGGGGUAAGCGGAAUUCCUAGUGUAGCGGUGAAAUGCGUAGAUAUUAGGAGGAACACCGGCGGCGAAGGCGGCUUACUGGACAGUAACUGACGUUGAGGCUCGAAAGCGUGGGGAGCAAACAGGAUUAGAUACCCC